Molecule: ribosomal RNA, 142 nt
Filed under: Salmonella enterica subsp. enterica serovar Typhimurium str. CDC_2009K1283
Lineage: Bacteria; Pseudomonadati; Pseudomonadota; Gammaproteobacteria; Enterobacterales; Enterobacteriaceae
Description: partial 16S ribosomal RNA
Rfam family: Bacterial small subunit ribosomal RNA
Source: RNAcentral
UUAAAUUGAAGAGUUUGAUCAUGGCUCAGAUUGAACGCUGGCGGCAGGCCUAACACAUGCAAGUCGAACGGUAACAGGAAGCAGCUUGCUGCUUCGCUGACGAGUGGCGGACGGGUGAGUAAUGUCUGGGAAACUGCCUGAU